UACGGAGGUGGCAAGCGUUGUUCGGAUUUAUUGGGCGUAAAGCGCGCGCAGGCGGUUUCUUAAGUCUGAUGUGAAAGCCCCCGGCUCAACCGGGGAGGGUCAUUGGAAACUGGGAGACUUGAGUGCAGAAGAGGAUAGUGGAAUUCCUAGUGUAGCGGUGAAAUGCGUAGAGAUUUGGAGGAACACCAGUGGCGAAGGCGACUGUCUGGUCUGUAUCUGACGCUGAGGCGCGAAAGCGUGGGGAGCAAACAGG
RNAcentral lists this ribosomal RNA (253 nucleotides) under uncultured Caryophanaceae bacterium. RNAcentral describes it as "uncultured Planococcaceae bacterium partial 16S ribosomal RNA". It matches the Rfam family "Bacterial small subunit ribosomal RNA", at positions 524 to 776 of the family's 1533-position model. Lineage: Bacteria; Bacillati; Bacillota; Bacilli; Caryophanales; Caryophanaceae. The record is from RNAcentral.